AGAAAAGUAUGAAGUUCCUGGAGGUCC
Molecule: non-coding RNA, 27 nt
Filed under: Mus musculus (house mouse)
Lineage: Eukaryota; Metazoa; Chordata; Mammalia; Rodentia; Muridae
Source: RNAcentral